This 105-nucleotide small nucleolar RNA is filed under the name Oryza sativa Indica Group (long-grained rice). Its description in RNAcentral is "Plant small nucleolar RNA R71". It matches the Rfam family "Plant small nucleolar RNA R71". Rfam says of the family: R71 is a member of the C/D box family of snoRNAs containing the C (UGAUGA) and D (CUGA) box motifs. Lineage: Eukaryota; Viridiplantae; Streptophyta; Magnoliopsida; Poales; Poaceae. The record is from Rfam by way of RNAcentral.
AUACCAUGGUGAGGACAGCAGAUAUAUAGUCCUGGAGGCGAUCCCAUGCCUCCGGAACUAUUUCAUAUUUAACUGCUGGAAACUAGCAAUUUUAUUCUGGAGGGC